This 178-nucleotide long non-coding RNA is filed under the name Ictidomys tridecemlineatus (thirteen-lined ground squirrel). Its description in RNAcentral is "lncRNA (ENSSTOG00000029345.1)". Lineage: Eukaryota; Metazoa; Chordata; Mammalia; Rodentia; Sciuridae. The record is from RNAcentral.
GCUAGGUGACAUUCUACAAGAUCUGAACACUGAGAAACCUCAAAUAACUCUUCCACCUAUAAUAAUACCUAAGAAGAAAAGAUCUACUGGAUCUUCUCUGAAUCCUUUUGCUGUGUACACCCCCAAGGUAAAGUGUAUAGAGAUACCCUGUCUUGAUUUAUGAUAUUGUUUUAAAUUU